This is a long non-coding RNA of Heterocephalus glaber (naked mole-rat), 1998 nucleotides long. Lineage: Eukaryota; Metazoa; Chordata; Mammalia; Rodentia; Bathyergidae. The record is from Ensembl.
GUCUGCCAUACCCUGUCCAAAGCCUCCUAGCUCCUGCCUGCUGGCCGCACUUGGCCUCCUGCUCCAAAUGAGCCUGUGCCCACAUGGCUGUCCUUCAAAGGACCACAACAUAGCCUCUCUGAGAAGUACCCAGCUGAGAAAUUAGCCCCGGGCCCCAACAAAGUAAAAAAGCUGGAUCCUGGGGCCUGGGAGACUAGAGGGGUCGAGGGUGGCAGGUGAAGGCUUGGGAGGUGCUGGAGUAUGGGAGCAGUGCUGCAUGGGGCUCCCGGAGGGAGGCGCCAGGGGUUUCUCGAGGGCCCUGGGCACCCCGAAGGGCCCAAGUCCCACGGAGACGGCACUCUCCACUGGGCACAGCCCUACCCGCCAUGGCGAGCAUUGAGGCGCUCCAUGUACUGGGCCGCCACGUCCACGGCCUCGGCUUCCGGAAGCUGUAGAUUGCCGGACACGUUGCAGCGCAGGUCGUUCCAGUCUGAGCGCAGCAGCUCGAAGUCCACAGCGCCCACGCUGAAUGUGCGCUGCCAGUCGAUAGCAUCUUCUCGCCAGUGCCCGGGCACGCGGCCCGCGGCAUCCUCCUCGCUGUCCUCUGAGGCCACCUCGUCGCCAGGGGCCCGGUCCUCCUCCUCCCCCUCGCCCUCGGCGAGCAGCUGCGGCCGGGACACCUGGGACAAGCUCAGGAAGGAGGUCAUGGGCUGCGCGGCAGCCGAGGAGUUCACAUCCGGUGUGGGCGCGUGGGCCUGCGGGGCCCCGAGGGUGGACGGCGCGGGGGGCUCUGUGCCUGGGGGCCCGCGGGACCUGCGCCGGGGCCGAGGUGCACGCAGCUGCGCUCGUGGCACGGCGCGGGCACGCAGGAGGACGCCGGCCAGGGGAGGCCAGGCCGGGCCACGUGGGGACACCCGCGGUCGGGGCCGCACGCGCGUCACAUACACCUUGGCAGGAGGCUUCUCAGCGGCGCGCGGGGGUGGCGCGUGGCCCAGGAAGAGGGACAGGGGGCGCAUGGCCCAGCGCAGCGCGGGAGUGGCGGGACUGAGGGCCGUGGGAAGCUGAGAGCUCUGGCUCGCGCUCCGCCAGCGGUGGUGUGGGAGGCCUGCGUCCGCUCCGCGGUGGGCCCACCUCGGUGGGCUCCAGGCUGUCCAGCAGCUCCCCCUCGUCCUCUUCGUCCAGGAAGUCUGCAGGCAGCGGAGGUGAGCGGGCGGCCAGGGCCAGCGGGGCUGCGGGGCGGGGUGGGCGUGGGGAGGCUCACCCUCGGGGCUGAGGAACAAGAAGGCCCGGCGCUGCUGCUCCUCCUCCCCGUCCUCCCCUUCCUGCUUGUCCAUCUUCAUGUAUUUGUAGAAACCGAACCUGGAGCAGCAGAGCGUCAGAGCCGCCGUCCUGGUGAGGCCUCACCCCGUGCCCUCCGGCCCACCUACCUUUCCAGGUACCGGGGAGAUUCUCGGUAGAAGCACUUGUUCUCCGUCUCCAUGUGCGUGAGGCGGGUGUAGUCAUUGGGAUACACGAAGGACAGGUAUACCUGGGGGAGAGGCGAGGCGAGGGCUCAGGGCCUCCGGGGAACGAGGGGGUGCCUGGAGCACAGUGGGGCUCUGGUCUGGGCACGUACAAACUGCAGCCCCUGGUAUCUGGCGAUGGGGAAGUCCUUGAGAACGUAGGUAGGUGCGUAGGCACAGGGCUCCAGCACGCUCUCCAGGCUCCAGGGCUCUAUCCGGGGUGCUGUGGGCGGGGUCCUUGUCAAGGGCUGGGCCGGCCCCUCCACUCCCUGGGGGCCGGCUCACUGAGGAAGAAGCUGUCCCUGGGGUCUGGGCGCAGCAUGUCUGCGCUGGACUCCUCCUUGGGCAGGUGGCCCCUGACAUGGCUGGCUGGAGACUGGGGCACGUGGGCCACAUGGUCCAUCUUCAGGGAGGACUCAUCUGUGGGCCCAAGGUUGAUCCAGGUCCUCCUUCCCGCCCAGCUGGGCCACCCCCAGAGCCGCUGCCUCCCCAGGUGCCCAGAGUACCUGUGUAAAGG